AGCGAACGCUGGCGGCAGGCUUAACACAUGCAAGUCGAGCGGGCGUAGCAAUACGUCAGCGGCAGACGGGUGAGUAACGCGUGGGAACGUACCUUUUGGUUCGGAACAACUGAGGGAAACUUCAGCUAAUACCGGAUAAGCCCUUACGGGGAAAGAUUUAUCGCCGAAAGAUCGGCCCGCGUCUGAUUAGCUAGUUGGUGAGGUAACGGCUCACCAAGGCGACGAUCAGUAGCUGGUCUGAGAGGAUGAUCAGCCACAUUGGGACUGAGACACGGCCCAAACUCCUACGGGAGGCAGCAGUGGGGAAUAUUGGACAAUGGGCGAAAGCCUGAUCCAGCCAUGCCGCGUGAGUGAUGAAGGCCCUAGGGUUGUAAAGCUCUUUUACCCGAGAUGAUAAUGACAGUAUCGGGAGAAUAAGCUCCGGCUAACUCCGUGCCAGCAGCCGCGGUAAU
RNAcentral lists this ribosomal RNA (452 nucleotides) under uncultured bacterium. RNAcentral describes it as "bacterial SSU rRNA". It matches the Rfam family "Bacterial small subunit ribosomal RNA", at positions 29 to 524 of the family's 1533-position model. The record is from RNAcentral.